Phrynosoma platyrhinos (Desert horned lizard) is the source of this 72-nucleotide non-coding RNA. NCBI's taxonomy places the organism in Eukaryota, Metazoa, Chordata, Lepidosauria, Squamata, Phrynosomatidae. The record is from the annotation of a GenBank genome assembly.
GACAGUGUGGUGCAGUGGUUUGGGCAUUGGACUACGACUCUGGAGAUCAGGGUUCAAUUCCAGGUUCAGACA